UGCCAGCCGCCGCGGUAAUACGGAGGGUGCGAGCGUUAAUCGGAAUUGCUGGGCGUAAAGGGUGCGUAGGCGGCCCAUCAAGUUAGACGUGAAAGCCCCGGGCUCAACCUGGGAAUUGCGUUUAAUACUGGUGAGCUAGAGUACGAGAGAGGAAAGUGGAAUUCCUAGUGUAGAGGUGAAAUUCGUAGAUAUUAGGAAGAACACCAGUGGCGAAGGCGACUUUCUGGCUCGUAACUGACGCUGAGGCACGAAAGCGUGGGGAGCAAACAGGAUUAGAUA
This 279-nucleotide ribosomal RNA is filed under the name uncultured bacterium. RNAcentral's name for it is "partial 16S ribosomal RNA". It matches the Rfam family "Bacterial small subunit ribosomal RNA", at positions 506 to 784 of the family's 1533-position model. The record is from RNAcentral.